This is an RNA transcript of Symphalangus syndactylus (siamang), 4585 nucleotides long. It is a transcript of the gene named interacts with SUPT6H, CTD assembly factor 1, with no coding region annotated. The record is from RefSeq and is a predicted model, not a curated record. Lineage: Eukaryota; Metazoa; Chordata; Mammalia; Primates; Hylobatidae.
GCAUUCCUUUGAGGGUCGUGGGCAGACGCCAUUUUGGCCCCAGCGGUGCUUCUAGGAAGUAGAGCGCCGGCUCGCAUGCCUGCCCGCCCGCCAGCCUGCCGGGUACGGCCUUUUCUGCCGGGGCUUCCAGGUCAAAGCAUUCACCUUUGCCUCUGCCGCUUUCUUACCUUCCGCACCCGUUAAGUUCUCCGGUCAGGCGGGAGUCUCUGAACACUUAGCCGCGCCAUCCGGGGUCACACCGCCUGGAAGGAGGUGACGGGGGCGGCGCGGGGCUCCCCGCUGAGAGUCCGCCUGCCAUGGACUCGGAAUAUUACCGCGGCGACCAGUCAGAUGAUGGUGGUGCUACCCCAGUACAGGAUGAACGGGAUUCAGGGUCAGACGGUGAGGAUGAUGUAAAUGAGCAACACUCCGGAUCAGACACUGGAAGUGUAGAACGUCAUUCAGAGAAUGAAACUAGUGAUCGAGAAGAUGGCCUCCCCAAAGGACAUCAUGUGACAGACUCUGAGAAUGAUGAGCCCUUAAAUCUUAAUGCUAGUGACUCUGAAAGUGAGGAGCUUCACAGGCAAAAGGACAGUGACUCUGAAUCUGAGGAACGUGCAGAGCCUCCUGCAAGCGAUUCUGAAAAUGAGGAUGUCAAUCAGCAUGGGAGUGACUCUGAGAGUGAAGAGACCAGGCAAUUACCUGGUAGUGACUCUGAAAAUGAGGAGCUUCUUAAUGGGCAUGCAAGUGACUCAGAAAACGAAGAUGUUGGGAAGCAUCCAGCCAGUGAUUCUGAGAUUGAGGAGCUCCAGAAGAGUCCUGCUAGUGACUCUGAAACAGAAGAUGCUCUAAAACCUCAAAUCAGUGACUCUGAGAGUGAGGAACCCCCAAGGCAUCAAGCCAGUGACUCCGAAAAUGAGGAGCCUCCCAAACCUCGAAUGAGUGAUUCUGAAAGUGAGGAGCUUCCUAAACCUCAGGUCAGUGAUUCAGAAAGUGAGGAACCCCCAAGGCACCAGGCCAGUGACUCUGAAAAUGAGGAGCUUCCCAAACCUCGUAUCAGUGACUCAGAAAGUGAGGACCCUCCGAGGCACCAGGCCAGUGACUCAGAAAAUGAAGAGCUUCCCAAACCCCGAAUCAGUGAUUCGGAAAGUGAGGAUCCCCCAAGGAACCAGGCCAGUGAUUCUGAAAAUGAGGAGCUACCCAAACCCCGAGUCAGUGACUCUGAGAGUGAGGGGCCUCAGAAGGGGCCUGCCAGUGACUCAGAAACUGAGGAUGCGUCCAGACACAAACAGAAGCCAGAGUCAGAUGAUGACAGCGACAGGGAGAAUAAGGGAGAGGAUACAGAAAUGCAGAAUGACUCCUUCCAUUCAGACAGCCAUAUGGACAGAAAAAAGUUUCACAGUUCUGAUAGUGAGGAGGAAGAACACAAAAAGCAAAAAAUGGACAGUGAUGAAGAUGAAAAAGAGGGUGAGGAGGAGAAAGUAGCGAAGAGAAAAGCUGCUGUGCUUUCUGAUAGUGAAGAUGAAGAGAAAGCAUCAGCAAAGAAGAGUCGUGUUGUCUCUGAUGCAGAUGACUCUGACAGUGAUGCUGUAUCAGACAAGUCAGGCAAAAGAGAGAAGCCCAUAGCAUCUGACAGUGAGGAAGAAGCUGGGAAAGAAUUGUCUGAUAAGAAAAAUGAAGAGAAGGAUCUGUUUGGGAGUGACAGUGAGUCAGGCAAUGAGGAAGAAAAUCUUAUUGCAGACAUAUUUGGAGAAUCUGGUGAUGAAGAGGAAGAAGAAUUUACAGGUUUUAACCAAGAAGAUCUGGAAGAAGAAAAAGGUGAAACACAGGUAAAAGAAGCAGAAGAUUCAGAUUCUGAUGAUAACAUAAAGAGAGGAAAACAUAUGGACUUUCUGUCGGAUUUUGAGAUGAUGUUGCAGCGAAAAAAGAGCAUGAGUGGCAAGCGCAGACGGAACCGCGAUGGUGGCACCUUUAUUAGUGACGCAGACGAUGUCGUGAGUGCCAUGAUCGUCAAGAUGAAUGAAGCUGCUGAGGAAGACAGACAGUUGAACAAUCAAAAAAAGCCAGCACUGAAAAAAUUAACUUUACUGCCUACUGUAGUUAUGCACCUUAAGAAGCAGGACCUUAAAGAAACAUUCAUUGACAGCGGUGUGAUGUCUGCCAUCAAAGAAUGGCUCUCACCUCUACCAGAUAGGAGUUUGCCUGCACUCAAGAUCCGGGAGGAGCUGCUGAAGAUCCUGCAAGAGCUGCCUAGUGUGAGCCAGGAGACCCUGAAGCAUAGUGGGAUUGGACGAGCAGUGAUGUAUCUCUAUAAACACCCCAAGGAAUCAAGGUCCAACAAGGACAUGGCAGGGAAAUUAAUCAAUGAGUGGUCUAGGCCUAUAUUUGGUCUUACCUCAAACUACAAAGGAAUGACAAGAGAAGAAAGGGAGCAGAGAGAUCUAGAACAGAUGCCUCAACGACGAAGAAUGAACAGCACUGGUGGUCAGACACCCAGAAGAGACCUGGAAAAGGUGCUGACAGGAGAGGAGAAGGCUCUUAGACCUGGAGAUCCUGGAUUCUGUGCCCGUGCAAGGGUCCCAAUGCCCUCAAACAAGGACUAUGUUGUCAGGCCCAAAUGGAAUGUGGAAAUGGAGUCAUCCAGGGUUUUGCUGUUACUGCUCAAUGUGAUCACACCUUGAAUAAGAAAUGGAAAACCUUGGGAUGUUGAUAAAGCUAAUAUCCUGAGGAAGAACUUCAGUGGGUCCCAGCUGAGUAGGAGAUGGGAUUCAGCAGUACUGGUACAUAGUUAGGCCUAAUGUGCUGGAGUGGCCCAGGCAGAGGCCUACUGCAGAGACUAAUGGGAGCCUCAAGAGAAAAUCUACCUUAAGAAAAGGACCAGUCUGACAGCAAGCCCAGCUUCCCAAGAAGAUAGAAGAUUGGAGGCAAGCUGCUGUCCAGGUAUGUCCUGAACCAGCCAACUUGAAGGUAAGUUUGCUCCCUGGGGAGAGAAGGGCUCUAGGUAUGAACUAAAAGCUGUGUCCAUAGACACUGUAACACUGGAGUUCAAAAAAUGUUGCUGUGGAACAGCCCCUCUCAUCUGAACCCAGACGGAAUGUUCUCACCUCCCAAAAGUAGUGUCUUGUAUUCCGGCACAGUGGUAGCUUUCUGGAUCCACAGGCAAGGCCCUGUGGAGUCUCAGAAUAAUGAUAAAUCCUCUAGAUGACGUAGGAGCUGGUGAGGUGAGUGGAGCGCCCUGCUAUGGUGUGUCCAUAGGACCAUUGGAGCCUGAUGCUGCCAAAGCACGACCUGACCAGCCCCAGCAACUGGUUUAGGAUCAUACAACCAUGGACAUGCCCCUAGGAUUCCUAGAAAUACUAAGGGGAAAAGGAUUUUCCUGGAGCUGGGACAUUCUACAUUUGCACAGCUCUGUUCAGACGUCACCUUUUCUGUGAGGCCUUCUCUGAGCUAACGUAAACAGCAGCAAGUGAACACUGAGCUCUACUAAGUGAUGGAUACUACUGAAUAGCAGAGAACCAAAGAUGAACAAGAUAGCUUCUGCCCUUAAUGAGGUCACAGUGUGAGGAGGGAGUCAGAAUGGUGCCUCCUGACAGCUGGAGGAGAUUGGGGAAAGCUUCGUGGAGGAGGUGCUGUCGAGUUGACUCAUGAAGGGGUUGAAGAAGCAGGCUCAGAAAGGACCAAGGUUUGGAGCUACCACUGGAGGAGCUAAGAUUCAGACCUGGUUCUUCCUGGUUUCACAUCUCAUGCUUUAACCAUGUGCUGGGCAGACGAGAAAGGCAGACACUGUGAACAGAAGAAAUGAUCCAUCUCAAAAAUGGAAACUUCACGGUGUGUAUUCAGGGAACCGCAGGAAUUCCAGGCAAGAGAUGAGGCAGGAUUCUACCUCACUCAGAAGGUGAGAUACAGGCCACAGGUAUUUCAUACCUCUGCCUCCUGAUUCCUUCUUCCUUCCAGGAUAGCUUACUUUUGUUACCGUAUCGGGUGUCUGAAUAUGCUUUGAUCUGAAGAAAGAAUUCUAUGAUUGAAGCAAGGGAUGGACCAUGUGGUUGUAGUAGCCCAGAUGGGAGGGGGGUCCUUGAGUAGGACAGUAACUGGAGUAACUGGGAAAAUGAAGGGGAGACGACAGAUAGGGAGGACUUCUAGAGAUAGGACUGCUAGGACUUGGUCGCCAUUGGCUGUUAGAGAGGCAGGAAGCUAGGCCUGGGUGAGUGGUGGAGCAACAGUGCCCAUAACAGAACACUGUGUAUGAGAACGUUCCGUGGGAGAUGAAAAGUCAGGCAGGUUUGGAGCCCCUGUGGCUCGUCGAGCCAGGGAGAUGCCCCAUCCUGAUUGGGAUGUGUAAGGCUGGAGCUCCAGGUAGAGUCACAGAGCUAAGAAACUUCAGCUUCUUUCAAGUUAUUGCCCAGGAAGAGAGUCCAGAGAAAGACCAGCAGUGAGCUUGGGAGCAGCAGCUGUGGACACUGGGAAUCUCCUCAGCACUGACAGCUCUGGACCAGAACUACAUUGCUUCAGAUCCCUUGUGAAGUCAUGAUUGGACAAACAUAUUAUCUAAACCAUUCAGGGAAUUUUUUGAAAUUUCUUAAUUAAAGGAAGUUAUCUGGGCAAA